RNAcentral lists this ribosomal RNA (1357 nucleotides) under Listeria monocytogenes. Its description in RNAcentral is "partial 23S ribosomal RNA". It matches the Rfam family "Bacterial large subunit ribosomal RNA", at positions 536 to 1901 of the family's 2925-position model. The record is from RNAcentral. Lineage: Bacteria; Bacillati; Bacillota; Bacilli; Caryophanales; Listeriaceae.
GAGUGAAAUAGAUCCUGAAACCGUGUGCCUACAACAAGUUAGAGCCCGUUAAUGGGUGAUAGCGUGCCUUUUGUAGAAUGAACCGGCGAGUUACGAUAGCAUGCGAGGUUAAGUUGAAGAGACGGAGCCGUAGCGAAAGCGAGUCUGAAUAGGGCGAAUGAGUAUGUUGUCGUAGACCCGAAACCAUGUGAUCUACCCAUGUCCAGGUUGAAGGUGCGGUAAAACGCACUGGAGGACCGAACCCACGUACGUUGAAAAGUGCGGGGAUGAGGUGUGGGUAGCGGAGAAAUUCCAAACGAACUUGGAGAUAGCUGGUUCUCUCCGAAAUAGCUUUAGGGCUAGCCUCGGAAUUGAGAAUGAUGGAGGUAGAGCACUGUUUGGACUAGGGGCCCAUCUCGGGUUACCGAAUUCAGAUAAACUCCGAAUGCCAUUCAUUCAUAUCCGGGAGUCAGACUGUGAGUGAUAAGAUCCAUAGUCGAAAGGGAAACAGCCCAGACCACCAGCUAAGGUCCCCAAAUAACUAUUAAGUGGAAAAGGAUGUGGGGUUGCACAGACAACUAGGAUGUUGGCUUAGAAGCAGCCACCAUUUAAAGAGUGCGUAAUAGCUCACUAGUCGAGUGACCCUGCGCCGAAAAUGUACCGGGGCUAAAUAGUUUACCGAAGCUGUGGAGUGCACCAUCAGGUGCAUUGGUAGGAGAGCGUUCUAAGGGCGUUGAAGGCAGAUCGUGAGGACUGCUGGAGCGCUUAGAAGUGAGAAUGCCGGUAUGAGUAGCGAAAGACAGGUGAGAAUCCUGUCCACCGAAUGACUAAGGUUUCCUGGGGAAGGCUCGUCCGCCCAGGGUUAGUCGGGACCUAAGCCGAGGCCGACAGGCGUAGGCGAUGGACAACAGGUUGAUAUUCCUGUACCCGUUGUUUUUGUUUGAGCAAUGGAGGGACGCAGGAGGCUAAGAAGUGCAGACUGAUGGAUAUGUCUGUUCAAGCAGUAAGUCUUGGUAGGAGUCAAAUGCUUCUACCUAUACGGACAAGCUGUGAUGAGGAGGGAAAUAAUAGUACCGAAGCUUCUGAUGUCACACUGCCAAGAAAAGCUUCUAGUGAGAAAACAACGGCCCGUACCGCAAACCGACACAGGUAGUCGAGGAGAGAAUCCUAAGGUGAGCGAGAGAACUCUCGUUAAGGAACUCGGCAAAAUGACCCCGUAACUUCGGGAGAAGGGGUGCUGCUCUAACGAGCAGCCGCAGUGAAUAGGCCCAAGCGACUGUUUAUCAAAAACACAGGUCUCUGCAAAAUCGAAAGAUGACGUAUAGGGGCUGACGCCUGCCCGGUGCUGGAAGGUUAAGAGGAGUGCUUAGCGUAAGCG